UGGCUCAGGAUGAACGCUAGCUACAGGCUUAACACAUGCAAGUCGAGGGGCAGCAUUUCAGUUUGCUUGCAAACUGGAGAUGGCGACCGGCGCACGGGUGAGUAACACGUAUCCAACCUGCCGAUAACUCGGGGAUAGCCUUUCGAAAGAAAGAUUAAUACCCGAUGGCAUAAUUAGACCGCAUGGUCUUAUUAUUAAAGAAUUUCGGUUAUCGAUGGGGAUGCGUUCCAUUAGGCAGUUGGUGAGGUAACGGCUCACCAAACCUUCGAUGGAUAGGGGUUCUGAGAGGAAGGUCCCCCACAUUGGAACUGAGACACGGUCCAAACUCCUACGGGAGGCAGCAGUGAGGAAUAUUGGUCAAUGGGCGCAGGCCUGAACCAGCCAAGUAGCGUGAAGGAUGACUGCCCUAUGGGUUGUAAACUUCUUUUAUAUGGGAAUAAAGUUUUCCACGUGUGGAAUUUUGUAUGUACCAUAUGAAUAAGGAUCGGCUAACUCCGUGCCAGCAGCCGCGGUAAUACGGAGGAUCCGAGCGUUAUCCGGAUUUAUUGGGUUUAAAGGGAGCGUAGGUGGACAGUUAGGUCAGUUGUGAAAGUUUGCGGCUCAACCGUAAAAUUGCAGUUGAUACUGGCUGUCUUGAGUACAGUAGAGGUGGGCGGAAUUCGUGGUGUAGCGGUGAAAUGCUUAGAUAUCACGAAGAACUCCGAUUGCGAAGGCAGCUCACUGGACUGCAACUGACACUGAUGCUCGAAAGUGUGGGUAUCAAACAGGAUUAGAUACCCUGGUAGUCCACACAGUAAACGAUGAAUACUCGCUGUUUGCGAUAUACAGUAAGCGGCCAAGCGAAAGCAUUAAGUAUUCCACCUGGGGAGUACGCCGGCAACGGUGAAACUCAAAGGAAUUGACGGGGGCCCGCACAAGCGGAGGAACAUGUGGUUUAAUUCGAUGAUACGCGAGGAACCUUACCCGGGCUUAAAUUGCAUUUGAAUAAUCUGGAAACAGGUUAGCCGCAAGGCAAAUGUGAAGGUGCUGCAUGGUUGUCGUCAGCUCGUGCCGUGAGGUGUCGGCUUAAGUGCCAUAACGAGCGCAACCCUUAUCUUUAGUUACUAACAGGUCAUGCUGAGGACUCUAGAGAGACUGCCGUCGUAAGAUGUGAGGAAGGUGGGGAUGACGUCAAAUCAGCACGGCCCUUACGUCCGGGGCUACACACGUGUUACAAUGGGGGGUACAGAAGGCAGCUACCUGGUGACAGGAUGCUAAUCCCAAAAGCCUCUCUCAGUUCGGAUCGAAGUCUGCAACCCGACUUCGUGAAGCUGGAUUCGCUAGUAAUCGCGCAUCAGCCAUGGCGCGGUGAAUACGUUCCCGGGCCUUGUACACACCGCCCGUCAAGCCAUGAAAGCCGGGGGUACCUGAAGUACGUAACCGCAAGGAGCGUCCUAGGGUAAAACUGGU
This 1449-nucleotide ribosomal RNA is filed under the name uncultured organism. Its description in RNAcentral is "16S ribosomal RNA". It matches the Rfam family "Bacterial small subunit ribosomal RNA". The record is from RNAcentral.